This 293-nucleotide long non-coding RNA is filed under the name Triticum aestivum (bread wheat). Its description in RNAcentral is "long non-coding RNA (TAES_LNC002173)". The record is from RNAcentral. Lineage: Eukaryota; Viridiplantae; Streptophyta; Magnoliopsida; Poales; Poaceae.
AACAUAGACGGUCAGCAAACAAGCAAAGGACCUGGAUAGGUAACGAAACGAGAAACAAAGCCAUGUCAGUUCCCGUGCAUUUGUCAAACAGGACACGAGCAAGGAAGAACUCACCUUCUCGAUCAGCAAGGUGAAGGACGAACAACAAAGAGACUGACCCUGCACAAACAACGGAAGGAGGAGAUUACCAAUUCAACUAACAUCGACCACUCUUGCUCUCCAAUUGGACUAUCUGGCACUUGUGUUGAGACACCGAAGUUCAACAUGCCGAGAAAAGUCUCGUGGCACUCCAU